This 57-nucleotide transfer RNA is filed under the name Limnoria quadripunctata. RNAcentral's name for it is "tRNA-Gly". Lineage: Eukaryota; Metazoa; Arthropoda; Malacostraca; Isopoda; Limnoriidae. The record is from RNAcentral.
ACUUAUAUAGCAUAAAAAUAGUGCAGUUAAUUUCCACUUAGCUUGUCCGAGGAGGUA